AACACUGUUAACCUGCGGUACCUGCGGAGGGAUCAUUAUUGAAACCUUCAAAACUUGGGUAUGCUUGGCCUGGCCUUUUGGCCGUAAGAGCCGGCUCCCAGUCAUCCCCCUUCACACCUUGCUCACCUUCAGAGGGGAAAAAGGAGGGGAGGGUUUGUUUGCCUUUUCCCACUUGACCCCCCCUUUUUUUCACAAACCUUAUUGUCACAGAAUGUUUUGUGUAUUUGACAAAAAUGAAAU
RNAcentral lists this unclassified non-coding RNA (240 nucleotides) under soil metagenome. Its description in RNAcentral is "partial contains 5.8S ribosomal RNA, internal transcribed spacer 2, and large subunit ribosomal RNA". The record is from RNAcentral.